Molecule: ribosomal RNA, 253 nt
Filed under: uncultured bacterium
Lineage: Bacteria
Description: partial 16S ribosomal RNA
Rfam family: Bacterial small subunit ribosomal RNA
Source: RNAcentral
GACAGAGGCCCCAAGCGUUAGGCGGAAUCACUGGGCUUAAAGCGUGUGUAGGCGGACGCCUAAGUGUCUUGUGAAAUCCCACGGCUCACCCGUGGAACUGCUGGGCAUACUGGGCGUCUUGGGCCAACUAGGGGCAGUCGGAACAAGCGGUGGAGCGGUGAAAUGCGUAGAUAUCAGGAGGAACACCGGUGGCGAAGGCGGUUCUCUGGGCCUUACCUGACGCUGAGGAGCGAAAGCGUGGGGAGCAAACAGG